Molecule: small RNA, 322 nt
Filed under: Pongo abelii (Sumatran orangutan)
Lineage: Eukaryota; Metazoa; Chordata; Mammalia; Primates; Hominidae
Description: retained intron
Source: RNAcentral
GGCCAGGGCGCGGCGUGGCAGAUUCAGUCGUUUGCGGGCGGCCGGGAGAAUAGCAGUGCCUUGGACCCCAGCUCUCCUCCCCCUUUCCCUCUAAGGAUGGCCCAGAAGGAGAACGCCUACCCCUGGCCCUACGGCCGGCAGACGGUAAGGCCCUUCCCUCCGUCCCUGCGCCCCCAUGACCCCGCAUGGCGGUUCCUGCUAGGAAACUUGAGAUCCUGCAAUGAGCAAUCCUUUAAGCACUUUCUUCCCCGUUAUGCUCCAAAGUACGGGCCCCAAGUUUGAUGACAGAACCCGGUCUGGACAUUUGUAGCCACAUCCUGUC